This 254-nucleotide ribosomal RNA is filed under the name uncultured bacterium. Its description in RNAcentral is "partial 16S ribosomal RNA". It matches the Rfam family "Bacterial small subunit ribosomal RNA", at positions 524 to 776 of the family's 1533-position model. The record is from RNAcentral.
UACGUAGGCAGCGAGCGUUGUUCGGAGUUACUGGGCGUAAAGGGUGUGUAGGCGGUUUUCUAAGUUUGGUGUGAAAUCUCCCGGCUCAACCGGGAGGGUGCGCCGAAAAACUGGGAGACUAGAGUGCGGGAUGGGAGAGUAGAAUUCCUGGUGUAGCGGUGAAAUGCGUAGAUAUCAGGAGGAAUACCGGUGGUGUAGACGGCUCUCUGGACCGCCACUGACGCUGAGACACGAAAGCGUGGGUAGCAAACAGG